RNAcentral lists this ribosomal RNA (467 nucleotides) under uncultured bacterium. RNAcentral's name for it is "partial 16S ribosomal RNA". It matches the Rfam family "Bacterial small subunit ribosomal RNA", at positions 28 to 507 of the family's 1533-position model. The record is from RNAcentral.
GACGAACGCUGGCGGCGUGCUUAACACAUGCAAGUCGAACGGAAAGGCCUCUUUCGGGGGGUACUCGAGUGGCGAACGGGUAAGUAACACGCGAGUAACCCGCCCCCGACUUUGGGAUAACUUCAGGAAACUGGGGCUAAUACCGGAUAGGAGCUCUUGUUGCAUGGUGGGGGUUGGAGAGUUUUGGCGGGUGGGGGUGGACUCGCGGGUUAUCAGCUUGUUGGUGGGGUAGUGGCUUGCCAAGGCCUUGACGGGUAGCCGGCCCGGGGGGGUGACCGGCCACAUUGGGACUGAGGUACGGCCCAGGCUCCUACGGGGGGGCGCAGUGGGGAAUAUUGCACAAUGGGUGGAAGCCUGGUGCAGCAACGCCGUGUGCGGGAAGACGGCCUUCGGGUUGUAAACCGCUUUCGCUCGUGACGGAGCUUUGUGUGACGGUAGUGGGUAAAGAAGCACCGGCUAACUACGUG